UCGUGCCAACGGCAUAGCUGGGUAGCUAUGUGUGGACGGGAUAAGUGCUGAAAGCAUCUAAGCAUGAAGCCCCCCUCAAGAUGAGAUUUCCCAACUUCGGUUAUAAGAUCCCUCAAAGAUGAUGAGGUUAAUAGGUUCGAGGUGGAAGCAUGGUGACAUGUGGAGCUGACGAAUACUAAUCGAUCGAAGACUUAAUCAAAA
This 201-nucleotide ribosomal RNA is filed under the name Staphylococcus argenteus. Its description in RNAcentral is "partial 23S ribosomal RNA". It matches the Rfam family "Bacterial large subunit ribosomal RNA", at positions 2724 to 2925 of the family's 2925-position model. Lineage: Bacteria; Bacillati; Bacillota; Bacilli; Caryophanales; Staphylococcaceae. The record is from RNAcentral.